This 496-nucleotide ribosomal RNA is filed under the name uncultured bacterium. Its description in RNAcentral is "partial 16S ribosomal RNA". It matches the Rfam family "Bacterial small subunit ribosomal RNA", at positions 28 to 506 of the family's 1533-position model. The record is from RNAcentral.
GACGAACGCUGGCGGCGUGCCUAAUACAUGCAAGUUGAGCGCUGAAGGUUGGUACUUGUACCGACUGGAUGAGCAGCGAACGGGUGAGUAACGCGUGGGGAAUCUGCCUUUGAGCGGGGGACAACAUUUGGAAACGAAUGCUAAUGCCGCAUAAAAACUUUAAACACAAGUUUUAAGUUUGAAAGAUGCAAUUGCAUCACUCAAAGAUGAUCCCGCGUUGUAUUAGCUAGUUGGUGAGGUAAAGGCUCACCAAGGCGAUGAUACAUAGCCGACCUGAGAGGGUGAUAGGCCACAUUGGGACUGGGACACGGCCAAAACUCCUGCGGGAGGCAGCAGUAGGGAAUGUUCGGCAAUGGACGAAAGUCUGACCGAGCAACGCCGCGUGAGUGAAGAAGGUUUUGGGAUCGUAAAACUGUGUUGGUAGAGAAGAACGUUGGUGAGAGUGGAAAGCUCAUCAAGUGACGGUAACUACCCAGAAAGGGACGGCUAACUACGU